Molecule: ribosomal RNA, 602 nt
Filed under: uncultured Actinomycetes bacterium
Lineage: Bacteria; Bacillati; Actinomycetota; Actinomycetes
Description: bacterial SSU rRNA
Rfam family: Bacterial small subunit ribosomal RNA
Source: RNAcentral
UCGCCCUUAGAGUUUGAUCCUGGCUCAGGACGACCGCUGGCGGUGCGCCUUAUGCAUGCAAGUCGAGCGAAGCUUUUCAGUAGUUUACUACAGAAAAUGACUGAGCGGCGAACGGGUGAGUAACGCGUGAGCAAUCUACCUUAGUUACAGGGAUAGCCCGAGGAAACUCGGAUUAAUACCUGAUAUUCUUUACAUUUCGCAUGAAAUCAAAAGGAAAGGUCAGCCGAACUAAGAUGAGCUCGCGUUCUAUCAGCUAGUUGGUGAGGUAAAAGCUCACCAAGGCAACGACGGAUAGCUGGUCUGAGAGGACGAUCAGCCACACUGGGACUGAGACACGGCCCAGACUCCUACGGGAGGCUGCAGCAGGGAAUAUUGCGCAAUGAGCGAAAGCUUGACGCAGCGACACCGCGUGUGGGAUGACGGAUCUAGGUAUGUAAACCACUUUCAGGAGGGAAGAAAAUGACGGUACCUCCACAAGAAGCCCCGGCCAACUACGUGCCAGCAGCCGCAGUAAUACGUAGGGGGCGAGCGUUGUCCGGAUUUAUUGGGCGUAAAGAGCUCGUAGGCGGUUCAACAAGUCGGUCGUAAAAGUUCAGGGCUCA